This is a non-coding RNA of Ictidomys tridecemlineatus (thirteen-lined ground squirrel), 73 nucleotides long. NCBI's taxonomy places the organism in Eukaryota, Metazoa, Chordata, Mammalia, Rodentia, Sciuridae. The record is from Rfam.
AUGGUUGUAGCUCAAUGGUAGAGCACUUGUCUUGGACACAUGAGACCCUGGAUUCGAUCCUCAGCAACACAUA